RNAcentral lists this ribosomal RNA (318 nucleotides) under Agrilus derasofasciatus. RNAcentral's name for it is "partial 12S ribosomal RNA". Lineage: Eukaryota; Metazoa; Arthropoda; Insecta; Coleoptera; Buprestidae. The record is from RNAcentral.
UAAUAUUACUUUCAAAUCCACUUUAUAAAGUAUGUUUAAAAACUUUAACCAUUUAAAUAAAUUUAUUGUAACCCACCUCUACUCACACAAGCUGCAUCUUGAUUUGACUUCAUUCUUAAUAAAGAACCUUGACCAUUAAAAUUUCUUAUAAAAAAAUCAACCACAACGAUAUACAAACCAAUUGAAAGUAAAGCUUAUCGUGGACUAUCAAUUACAGGGCAGGUUCCUCUGAAAAGACUAAAAUACCGCCAAAUUCUUUUGUUUUAAAGAACAUAUCUGAUACUAACCUGGUAAUAAAAUUUACACUCAAAAUAAUAU